CAAAGGGUGCCUGAUUAAAGGGAUAUUUUGAUAGAAUAUAUAAUGUAGAACAAACUCUGCUCCUUUGA
Molecule: non-coding RNA, 68 nt
Organism: Frankliniella occidentalis (western flower thrips)
Lineage: Eukaryota; Metazoa; Arthropoda; Insecta; Thysanoptera; Thripidae
Source: the annotation of a RefSeq genome assembly